AAUUGGACUUGGACCUCGUCAAUUCCUAGGUUUUCGCAUUCUAAUCGCGGGAAUGAACAGAAAUUUGAGCAUAAUCUGUAUGUGCGGCUUCUAUAUGCAUAUCUGCUUGCUUUUGUGCCUAUACGUGAUUUGGAUUCACAUCAGCCCAAUCGUAGCUCGCUUUUGCAUGAUGGAGAUGGAAGUGAUGGGUCAAUUUUGUUGAGAG
RNAcentral lists this unclassified non-coding RNA (205 nucleotides) under Hevea brasiliensis (rubber tree). Lineage: Eukaryota; Viridiplantae; Streptophyta; Magnoliopsida; Malpighiales; Euphorbiaceae. The record is from RNAcentral.